This 858-nucleotide ribosomal RNA is filed under the name uncultured rumen Ophryoscolecidae. Its description in RNAcentral is "SSU rRNA". It matches the Rfam family "Eukaryotic small subunit ribosomal RNA", at positions 84 to 1066 of the family's 1831-position model. Lineage: Eukaryota; Ciliophora; Litostomatea; Entodiniomorphida; Ophryoscolecidae. The record is from RNAcentral.
AAACUGCGAAUGGCUCAUUACAACAGUUAUUGUUUAUUUGAUACAUUAAAUGGAUAACUGUAGAAAAACUAGAGCUAAUACAUGCUAAGGCCGCAAGGUUGUAUUUAUUAGAUAUUCCAAUAAGGUGAAUCAUAAUAACUUCGCAAAUCUCAUAUUUGUUGAGAUAAAUCAUCCAAGUUUCUGCCCUAUCAUGCUUUCGUUGGUAGUGUAUUGGACUACCAUGGCUCUCACGGGUAACAGGGAAUUAGGGUUCGAUUCUGGAGAAGGAGCCUGAGAAACGGCUACUACAUCUACGGAAGGCAGCAGGCGCGUAAAUUACCCAAUCCUGACUCAGGGAGGUGGUGACAAGAUAUAACAACGAGACUUUAAAUCUCGAUUGUAGUGAGGGUAUUCUAAAUAGAACCUAUAGUACGAUUAGAGGGCAAGUCUGGUGCCAGCAGCCGCGGUAAUUCCAGCUCUAAUAGCGUAUAUUAAAGUUGCUGCAGUUAAAAAGCUCGUAGUUGGAUUUCAAGGAUUGUAUUCUCUUCCGGGUUUACUUCCUACUAGUCAUUUGACUGUUACUGUGAGAAAAUUAGAGUGUUUCAAGCAGGCUUUCGCAAGAAUACAUUAGCAUGGAAUAACGAAUGUAUUUAGAAUCGUGGUUUAAUUCUAAAUUACUAUUAAUAGAGACAGUUGGGGGCAUUAGUAUUUAAUUGUCAGAGGUGAAAUUCUUGGAUUUGUUUAAAGACUAACGUAUGCGAAAGCAUUUGCCAAGGAUGUUUUCAUUAAUCAAGGACGAAAGAUAGGGGAUCAAAGACAAUCAGACACUGUCGUAGUCCUAUCUAUAAACUAUGCCGACUAGGGAUUGGGAGUGGGGUA